This 244-nucleotide ribosomal RNA is filed under the name uncultured bacterium. RNAcentral's name for it is "partial 16S ribosomal RNA". It matches the Rfam family "Bacterial small subunit ribosomal RNA", at positions 118 to 351 of the family's 1533-position model. The record is from RNAcentral.
UGAGUAACCUGUCCUCGGCACCGGGAUAGCCCGGGGGAAACCCGGAUUAAUACCGGAUGGCCUUUCGAGUCUUCGGGCUCGUCAGAAAAGGUAGCUUCGGCCUCCGGCCGAGGAGGGACUCGCGGCGGAUUAGCUUGUUGGUGGGGUAACGGCUCACCAAGGCGACGAUCCGUAGCUGGUCUGGAGGGGACGAUCAGCCACACUGGGACUGAGACACGGCCCAGACCUCCGUACGGGGAGGCAG